GGGCCGCACGCGCGCUACACUGAUGAAGGCAACAAGUAAUUCACCUUGGCCGGAAGGUCUGGGUAAUCUUUUGAAACUUCAUCGUGCUGGGGAUUGUCCAUUGCAAUUAUUGGACAUCAACGAGGAAUUCCUAGUAAGCGUGAGUCAUCAGCUCGCGUUGAUUACGUCCCUGCCCUUUGUACACACCGCCCGUCGCUACUACCGAUUGAAUGGCUUAGUGAGUCCUCCGGAUUGGAAACUAUGUUCCGGCAACGGCACGCAGCUUUCGAGAAGUUGGGCAAACUUGGUCAUUUAGAGGAAGUAAAAGUCGUAACAAGGUAACCGUAGGUGAACCUGCGGUUGGAUCAUUAAUAAUUCUGCUUUAGGAGAUGAGGUGUCUUGGUCAGCGCARGUAGAGAUGAAUUGUGACGGAUUGACCAAUGCCAACCAUGCCACACUUCUGUGUGGGAUUGUUGUGUGAACAGUGCCACACUUUUGUGUGGGAUUGAUCGUGACCAGUGCCACACUUUUGUGUGGGAUUGAUCGUGAACAGUGCCACACUUUUGUGUGGGAUUGAUUCGUGCGUUGCAACCAAUCCGAGCAUUGCCACCAACCUGCGCCCAUCAAGUUCUCGGAAUCCAAAGUCAACCCACAUCUUGUGAAACGUCACGUCUCUGGCGGGAGGGUAGCGCAAGCUACUUGUCAGCAUGUGCUUCUUUCGAGUUGCAUGUGCCGUGGACAGCCCGUCAAACACUUCUAAACUAUUUGUUUUUAUUAUUUUGUCUGACAUUUCUUGUAUAAAUAUACAAAACAACUUUUGGCAACGGAUCUCUUGGCUCUCGCAACGAUGAAGAACGCAGCGAAAUGCGAUAAGUAGUGUGAAUUGCAGAAUUCAGUGAAUCAUCGAAUCUUUGAACGCACAUUGCGCUUCCUGGUAUUCCAGGGAGCAUGCUCGUUUCAGAAUCAUUAGAAACCUCACAAGCUUUCUGUGCUUAAACGCACGGGUUGCAAGUGGAUUUGAGCGCAUUGUCAUUGCAUGAUGGCAAUCGCUUUAAAAUGAUUGUGUGUGUACGCCGAUUGACGGUCGGAAUAACUCUCAGUGCAACAGAUAAAAAUGAAACACUUUGGGUUGCUUCCGGUAUGCUGCUCAUUGUCUUACACACUUCCAAUUCUACACAGUAUUGAUGGCAAGUUUUGCUAUCAAUUCUGACAACUUGGUCUGAAAUCGAGCAAGAAAACCCGCUGAACUUAAGCAUAUCAAUAAGCGGAGGAAAAGAAACUAACAAGGAUUCCCCUAGUAACGGCGAGUGAAGCGGGAAUAGCUCAAAUUUGAAAUCUCAUAGGUUUUCCUGUGCGAAUUGUAGUUUAAAGAAACGUUUUCGGAGUUGGCUUGGGUAUAAGUCCUUUGGAAGAAGGCAUCGUAGAGGGUGAGAAUCCCGUUUAUGACCCAAUGUCCAGCUCUAUGUGAUACGUUUUCUAAGAGUCAGGUAGUUUGGGAUUGCUGCCUAAAAUGGGUGGUAAAUACCAUCUAAAGCUAAAUAUUGGCGAGAGACCGAUAGCGAACAAGUACCGUGAGGGAAAGAUGAAAAGAACUUUGAAAAGAGAGUUAAACAGUACGUGAAAUUGCCAAAAGGGAAACGCUUGGAACCAGUAUUGUCUGCAUGUAAUCAGCUACACGUUCUGAAAGGGUCUCGUGUGGUGCACUUGCUUGCGGACAGGCCAACAUCAGUUUGGUUUGGGGUAAAAAGCCGGAGAAAGGUAGCUUGGAUUCGUUCAAGUGUUAUAGUCUCCGGUCAUGCCUUGGACUGGACUGAGGUCUGCAGCGUUAUUUGGAUACCCGAUUGCCUCUUGAACCAUCUUCGAUCGACAGCUUGCUGACUUUAGGAGUGUCUAGGGAGCCCAGUCGGUUCAUCACACCAGCGCUUAGGA
This 1908-nucleotide ribosomal RNA is filed under the name uncultured fungus. Its description in RNAcentral is "bacterial SSU rRNA". The record is from RNAcentral. Lineage: Eukaryota; Fungi.